GAUCCAGUGGCAGGAGCCAGUCAUGAAGUUCUGGAGGAAACCAACAGGUGGAAAUGCUACCAGGAGAUAGAACUGAUACAAUCGGGAAGGAGGGAAGAGAGGAGAACCAGGUGCCUGGCUUGCGCAACCGGAAGGAUGAUGACCUCCUGUAGUCCUUACAACAACAAAUGGUGUGAGCACGCGUCUUUCCACAUUUCCAGAUGAGGAAACGGAAACAGGGAGCAAGGAGAAGUCGCUUGUCCAAGGCUACGUAAUUGGAAGAACUAGUUAGAAAGUAUGGAAGAGGAAAAGCCAAAGACCUCAACUGGGGUCCAAUUAUUUGGAUCUGAUUAUCCCCCAAACCCUCAUUGUUGGUACAGUUAACCCUGGAUAGCUUGCAGUGGCAAACUCUGUUGGCGACCUUCACUGUUUGUAAUACCUUCUACGGUAACCAACUGGGAUAUUUUCUCCAGAUUAAAAUUCAAC
RNAcentral lists this long non-coding RNA (465 nucleotides) under Mustela putorius furo (domestic ferret). RNAcentral describes it as "lncRNA (ENSMPUG00000030431.1)". The record is from RNAcentral. Lineage: Eukaryota; Metazoa; Chordata; Mammalia; Carnivora; Mustelidae.